This 272-nucleotide ribosomal RNA is filed under the name uncultured Eubacteriales bacterium. Its description in RNAcentral is "uncultured Clostridiales bacterium partial 16S ribosomal RNA". It matches the Rfam family "Bacterial small subunit ribosomal RNA", at positions 70 to 339 of the family's 1533-position model. Lineage: Bacteria; Bacillati; Bacillota; Clostridia; Eubacteriales. The record is from RNAcentral.
AAGCUUCGGCAGAUUUAGCUGGUUUCUAGUGGCGGACGGGUGAGUAACGCGUGGGUAACCUGCCUUAUACAGGGGGAUAACAGUCAGAAAUGACUGCUAAUACCGCAUAAGCGCACGAGAGGACAUCCUCUUGUGUGAAAAACUCCGGUGGUACAGGAUGGGCCCGCGUCUGAUUAGCUGGUUGGCAGGGUAACGGCCUACCAAGGCGACGAUCCAUAGCCGGCCUGAGAGGGUGAACGGCCACAUUGGGACUGAGACACGGCCCAGACUCC